UUAAGUUAAUAAGGGCGCACGGUGGAUGCCUUGGCACUAGGAGCCGACGAAGGACGUGGCAAACGACGAUAUGCCUUGGGUAGCUGUAAGUAAGCGAUGAUCCAGGGAUUUCCGAAUGGGGGAACCCAACAGGUAGUACCUGUUACCCACAUCUGUUAAGGAUGUGAGGAGGAAGACGCAGUGAACUGAAACAUCUAAGUAGCUGCAGGAAGAGAAAGCAAAAGCGAUUGCCUUAGUAGCGGCGAGCGAAACGGCAGGAGGGCAAACCGAAGAGUUUACUCUUCGGGGUUGUAGGACUGCAAUGUGGACUCAAAGAUUAUAGAAGAAUGAUUUGGGAAGAUCAGCCAAAGAGAGUAAUAGCCUCGUAUUUAAAAUAGUCUUUGUACCUAGCAGUAUCCUGAGUACGGCGGGACACGUGAAAUCCCGUCGGAAUCUGGGAGGACCAUCUCCCAACCCUAAAUACUCCCUAGUGACCGAUAGUGAACCAGUACCGUGAGGGAAAGGUGAAAAGCACCCCGGGAGGGGAGUGAAAUAGAACCUGAAACCGUGUGCCUACAACAAGUUCGAGCCCGUUAAUGGGUGAGAGCGUGCCUUUUGUAGAAUGAACCGGCGAGUUACGUUAUGAUGCGAGGUUAAGUUGAAGAGACGGAGCCGUAGGGAAACCGAGUCUGAAUAGGGCGCCUUAGUAUCAUGACGUAGACCCGAAACCAUGUGACCUACCCAUGAGCAGGUUGAAGGUGCGGUAAGACGCACUGGAGGACCGAACCAGGGCACGUUGAAAAGUGCUUGGAUGACUUGUGGGUAGCGGAGAAAUUCCAAACGAACUUGGAGAUAGCUGGUUCUCUCCGAAAUAGCUUUAGGGCUAGCGUCGACAUUAGAGAUUCUUGGAGGUAGAGCACUGUUUGGGUGAGGGGUCCAUCCCGGAUUACCAAUCUCAGAUAAACUCCGAAUGCCAAUGAAUUAUGGUCGGCAGUCAGACUGCGAGUGCUAAGAUCCGUAGUCGAAAGGGAAACAGCCCAGACCACCAGCUAAGGUCCCAAAAUAAUUGUUAAGUGGAAAAGGAUGUGGGGUUGCACAGACAACUAGGAUGUUAGCUUAGAAGCAGCUAUUCAUUCAAAGAGUGCGUAAUAGCUCACUAGUCGAGUGACCCUGCGCCGAAAAUGUACCGGGGCUAAAACAAUUUACCGAAGCUGUGGAUACCUUUAUAGGUAUGGUAGGAGAGCGUUCUAUGUGUGAUGAAGGUAUACCGUGAGGAGUGCUGGAACGCAUAGAAGUGAGAAUGCCGGUAUGAGUAGCGAAAGACAGGUGAGAAUCCUGUCCACCGUAAGACUAAGGUUUCCAGGGGAAGGCUCGUCCGCCCUGGGUUAGUCGGGACCUAAGGAGAGACCGAAAGGUGUAUCCGAUGGACAACAGGUUGAUAUUCCUGUACUAGAGUAUGUAGUGAUGGAGGGACGCAGUAGGCUAACUAAAGCAGACGAUUGGAAGAGUCUGUCUAAGCAGUGAGGUGUGAAUUGAGUCAAAUGCUUAAUUCUAUAACAUUGAGCUGUGAUGGGGAGCGAAGUUUAGUAGCGAAGUUAGUGACGUCACACUGCCAAGAAAAGCUUCUAGCGUUUAAACAUACUCUACCCGUACCGCAAACCGACACAGGUAGUCGAGGCGAGUAGCCUCAGGUGAGCGAGAGAACUCUCGUUAAGGAACUCGGCAAAAUGACCCCGUAACUUCGGGAGAAGGGGUGCUGACUUAAAGUCAGCCGCAGUGAAUAGGCCCAAGCAACUGUUUAUCAAAAACACAGCUCUCUGCUAAAUCGUAAGAUGAUGUAUAGGGGGUGACGCCUGCCCGGUGCUGGAAGGUUAAGAGGAGUGCUUAGCGUAAGCGAAGGUAUGAAUUGAAGCCCCAGUAAACGGCGGCCGUAACUAUAACGGUCCUAAGGUAGCGAAAUUCCUUGUCGGGUAAGUUCCGACCCGCACGAAAGGCGUAAUGAUUUGGGCACUGUCUCAACGAGAGACUCGGUGAAAUUUUAGUACCUGUGAAGAUGCAGGUUACCCGCGACAGGACGGAAAGACCCCAUGGAGCUUUACUGCAGUUUGAUAUUGAGUGUCUGUACCACAUGUACAGGAUAGGUAGGAGUCUAAGAAAUCGGGACGCCAGUUUCGAAGGAGACGCUGUUGGGAUACUACCCUUGUGUUAUGGCCACUCUAACCCAGAUAGGUGAUCCCUAUCGGAGACAGUGUCUGACGGGCAGUUUGACUGGGGCGGUCGCCUCCUAAAAGGUAACGGAGGCGCCCAAAGGUUCCCUCAGAAUGGUUGGAAAUCAUUCGCAGAGUGUAAAGGUAUAAGGGAGCUUGACUGCGAGAGCUACAACUCGAGCAGGGACGAAAGUCGGGCUUAGUGAUCCGGUGGUUCCGUAUGGAAGGGCCAUCGCUCAACGGAUAAAAGCUACCCUGGGGAUAA
Molecule: ribosomal RNA, 2451 nt
Filed under: Streptococcus pneumoniae GA47368
Lineage: Bacteria; Bacillati; Bacillota; Bacilli; Lactobacillales; Streptococcaceae
Description: bacterial LSU rRNA
Rfam family: Bacterial large subunit ribosomal RNA
Source: RNAcentral